Molecule: signal recognition particle RNA, 99 nt
Filed under: Caulobacter sp.
Lineage: Bacteria; Pseudomonadati; Pseudomonadota; Alphaproteobacteria; Caulobacterales; Caulobacteraceae
Also listed under: 1 other name
Description: Bacterial small signal recognition particle RNA
Rfam family: Bacterial small signal recognition particle RNA
About the family: The signal recognition particle (SRP) is a universally conserved ribonucleoprotein involved in the co-translational targeting of proteins to membranes.
Source: Rfam by way of RNAcentral
CGGAGAUCGGCGACGGGCGAAGCGCUCGCCAAUCUGGUCAGGGCCGAGAGGCAGCAGCCACAACGAGUUAACCUUCGGGUCGGCUGUCGGUCUCCACCU